UCCCAUAUUUUUAAAAUAUAUCUAUAUUUUUAAAUUUUUAUGGCUAAAGAGCUAUUGAAGAGUAAGCUAAGUUUAUUUAUUAAAAAAAUGAGAUUAAACUGUAAGCUUUUAGACCCACUAUAGUGUGUUAACAUAGCCCCCUUUUAAAGAAAAGGGCAGAUUCUAGCACCAUCAGGUACCGGGGGCUCUGAUUAAUUACCAACAAUGGAAAAUGUGCCAGAAUCUCUCUGAAGCUCAACCGACCUUGAGUUGAUUGGGCUGGUUCAGCAGAACUAGAACUUGCUCGCUAUCUCUAUACUGCCAGUGUGCUAUGGCUCAGUGGUUUUCAAACGUUGGUGGGCAGAAGACUAAGUGGGGGCUUAGUAAAUAUUCACAACUUCCCAGAGACCUGCUUCAGUAGGACUAGAAUCAGGUCCAGAAAACUGCCCCCCCCCCCCUUUUUAGGGCCCUACCCUGGGCAUAUGGAGGUUCCCAGGCUAGGGGUCUAAUCAGAGCUAUUGCUGCCAGCCUACACCACUACACCACAGCCACAGCCACGUUAGAUCCAAGCCACAUCUGUGACCUACACCACAGCUCAUGGCAAUGCCAGAUCCUUAACCCACUGAGUGCGGCCAGGGACCGAACCUGCAACCUUAUGGUUCCUAGUCAGAUUUGUUUCCUUUUUAGAGUAUACACGCUAAAUCUGAAGCCAAUAUCGAGAGUCACCUGCUAGAGGAUGUAGUGUGAAACAGCAACAUUUGCGGUUAAGAAUUAGCACAUGUAGAGUUGGUUCAUGCGUGCUUUCCCACAGAGCGCAAAUACAGCACACCAACGCGUAACACUAAAAAUCUACAUCAUCGUCAUAGAAAUUACUUACUAUUUGCCAAAUACAGUCUUGAGUAUGUGUGUAAACACAGAGUUUUGCAAGUAACAAAGUCACGGAGGGAAAACACUCCCUUCAGGAUACACGGAUCAAGGUCCACAUGGAGAAAUGAGCAGAAGCUACUAAAAAAUAUGAGAAGAUUUGAACAGCAGGAAAAAUCUGCCUGUGUCUAAACAGGAAGAUGAUUAUUAUAAAGAUGGACAUUCUCCCCCAAAUUAAUGUAUGCAUAUGUAAAAAUCUGACGAGAUUAUUUUUCCCAUAGAAAUUAUCCCUCAUAAAAGAGGGAGCCAUCUUAUACUUGCAUCCUUACCAAAUCUCUCAUACUAUGGGAGCCUAUCUUUAUUUCAUUUCAAACUUCUUUCGAAGAAGACACAGUCCCCUAAUGUAACAUCUACCAAUGUUAGUUCUACAUGCUGUAGAGGGCAUCCAAUAUAAAGUAGCGAAGGAAGAAGUUUUUAUGAUUUUUUUUUUCUUUUUUGCUAUUUCUUGGGCCGCUCCCGCGGCAUAUGGCGGUUCCCAGGCUAGGGGUCCAAUCAGAGCCACAGCAACGCAGGAUCCGAGCCGUGUCUGCAACCUACACCACAGCUCACAGCAACGCUGGAUUGUUAACCCACUGAGCAAGGCCAGGGACCGAACCCGCAACCUCAUGGUUCCUAGACGGGUUUGUUAACCACUGCGCCACGACGGGAACUCCAAGAAGUUUUUAAAGGAGGUAAAUUUAGUAACUAUUUCUGUGGUAAUGAUUCCGUAAUACAAGUAUCAGAUGUCAUUUUAUUAUUUAUUUAUUUGCUUUUUACGGUUGCACCUGGGCAGAUGGACAUUCCCAGGCUAGGGGUCAAAUUGGAGCUGCAGCUGCCAGCCCACGCCACAGCCAGAGCAACAUCAGAUCCUAGCCACAUCUGUGACCUACCCCAUAGCUCACAGCAAUGCUGUAUCCUUAACACACUGAGCAAGGCCAGGGAUCAAACCCACAUCCUCAUGGAUACUGGUUGGGUUGGUAACCCACUGAGCCACAAAGGGAACUCCUCAGAUAUCAUUUUAAAUGAGGAUUUCGAAGAUGACAGUAGAAAACAGUAUAGUAAAUGUUCAUGUGGCAAUGGUUAAGAACACAUUUUUAGAGUUUUGUUUUUUUUUUUUUUUAAGAGAAAUGAAGAGUAUCACCAUUAUACAAAUGGAUUCUCUGGUUCAGCAUGAAACUUCCCAAUGACAUCCUCCUAGAACCAUCCAAGUGCGGCUCCUCAAGCACAGAGAACAAAGUUAAUGGUGACAGUUAGUGUCUCUAGUGGUGACACAGUUCAGAUACCAAAUAUGCAAGUAGAGAGUUGAGUAAUAUUGUUUCUCGGCAGGUGAGAGUAUUAAAAAGGUGCUUCAAAAUUAAUGUAUUACUUUAUGUACUAAUUCAAAUAAGCAUGUAUCUAAAUCAAUCCAUAAAAUGUUCUAAGUAAUAUUUAUUAUUUAAUUUACUUUCCAUCCCUAAAUUUGUUAAGUACAAGUUUAUAGAAGCCUUUUGGGGGGAGGAUAAGUUUCUGAUUCACCAAAAGGGAUGGACUUGGACCUGUCUUAUAUUCAGACACAAAUAUGUACAAUUUGCAUAAUACAAUUUCGAUUAGAGCAGGAAUUUGUUCUGUAGAAGUUGACACUAAAUCAUCAGGUCAUCCAGAAUCAAAAAUAGGUAUUAGAAUGGAUCCUCCCCGAAUGCACUCCUGCGUAGGAGCAUCUGCCUCUAUCUUCAGCUGCCCUCCCGAGAGGACCUCUCUGUGGCUCUGCCUUCACGACUGGCCCUUCCACCACAACAUCCAAGGGGCUAUUACUGAAAGCACACUAGGUGCCGGGUAUGAACAAUGACUUAUUUGCUCCAUGAACAACUGAUGCAGGAUCCAGCCUCUGCCCCUCCAUGUCUCUGCAGUGUUCAGAGAAUCUCCAGCUGGAGCUUGGCCAGGUGGACAGCUCUCAGAACGCCACACCCAGGUGCUUAUUCCCAGAUACUACAGUGCGGUGUCCACAACACCACCCGCAGAAUAGAACUGUGAUGCCCCUUGUAGAUUUAAUUACAAACUGAGAUCAGGUACAUCCACCAAAGGGGAGACAGUGAUGUAUUUCUCUCACUGGUUCUCAGACUUUAAAAUCAACAGGGAUGUUAGUGACAGAGGUCAAGAGAAAUUAAUUGUAAAAAAAGAGAAGGGUGAACACACCUAAGAGAUCUUUAUCCAAAAGGAGCGGCUACCCAGUUUGGGAGUCUACCAAUGAAGGUGGAUUUUAGAGUGAAGACACAAAUACAAGUAAAGAUGGUGAUAACCCUACCUACCAUGUGCUGAAACAUGUUUUAGUUAUCGAAUAAUCAACUCAGUAUGUAAGUGGCCUAAAAGGAGGCAAAGAAUUGGGGAAAAUGGAAACCACAGAAAUGAGACCUAUGAAGAAUGUGCCAUAUGACACAGGAUUAGGGAGCAUAUCGUACAAUAAGUGGUUCUGGGUCAAAAGAUCAUAUAUUUGAAUAUAAGUUCAUUUUUUAUUUACUUCUUUAGCACAGUCUCCAGACAUGUUAAAUAGUUAACCAUAAAAACUUAAAAAGUGGGAAAAAUAUGGAGGAAGGCUUAAACCAAUGGAAAAAAAUCACAUGAUAAAUCGUAAGAUUUAACUUCAUGAAAUCGUUACACUUCUGUUUAUAAAAAAUUAAAGCUACGACUGAAAGGAAAAUAAACUCUUACCUGUUCAGGAGUGUUGCAUUAUACAGCUGAUUCAUUCUCUAAUACUGAAACACAUUUCCUUCACAGGCUGAUAAAAUACAGGGUGAGAGUUGUUUCAAUACUGUAAAUUGUGUAUUUAUUCACCCACUCAGUUAGAAAGCACAUUUGUGGCACAGUCACUAAAUGUUGUUUGUUAGUUUCCCUAACUAAAAAGGUCAACAUACAGACAUGUUUCUUUUACUUCAUAGCAUGUACAGUCUAGAAAUACAGAUAGAUAUUUUUACACUGUAUUUUUAAGGGCUUGUUCUUUUGAGGGCUUUAAACUUAGGUAAACUAAUCUCAAAAGAGCAAGUAUGCCACCAAUCCAGCCUGCUUUGUGAAUUCCUACCACUGUUAAGACUCAGCUCAGGAAGUUCCCUUGAAACACAGUAGGUUAAGGAUCCAGCACCGCCACAGCUGUGGCACAGGUCACAACUGCAGUGUGGGUUCAGUCCCUGGCUAGGAACUUCCACAUGCUGCAGGUAUGGCAAAAGAAAAAAAAAAAAAGACUCAGUUCAAAUAUGACUUCUUCCCUGAUGCCUUCCUUGACCAUUCCAUACAAAGCUAACUUCAUCCACUAAUCUAUUUAAUCUAUUUAACCAAUAGAUAUUGUGUAUCUACUACCUGUCUUUCUAGGACUAUAAAUGGACAAACACGUCCUCAACAUAUGCGCUAAACAUACUUGCGGUUUUACUACUCCCGCCCUUUUCAGUUUUUCCACAAUAUCAUACACAGCAAUGACCUGACAUUUUUGGAGUGAAACAAUCCUCUGACACUCUGACGAAAACUCUGCACCCUCUCCCCCAAAGACGUUUACUGCUCAUAUACUCAAGACUUUGCCCAGAGUUUUGCUGCAUUCAGAGGUUUUCUGAGGUCCACCACAGAUCAUUUGCCUCAGGUCAAAACAGCUGUUGUAGGCCUUCCCACUCUGGCAUGUGCCCAUAAGCAAUCUUAUGCCCGUGUUUGUUUAUACACUUGCCCUUAAAAACAACACAACCUAACGAUUAAAACGCCUUGUGAACCCCUCCUCUCAGGCAGAAUAUCUUCCUUUGCAUUUACCGUAGCUAAGAGAGUAACAGCCACGUACCAACAUCUAUUGAAUGAAAGUGAGUAUGUGUGAAGAAAUAAUGCAACAGGACCUCACAUAAUUCUUCCUCUAAUACACGCUCCAUGAAAGAUCUUCAUGCCCAUAUGGCACGACGAUACCAGAGACAACUGACCACAUGCAGUAUCAGUUGGGAUUCCUCCUGUUCAAAGUGACAGGAAAAAAAUUCUUAACAGGCUUAAAUAAAUAUCUCCUUAUUGGCUCACGGAACUGAAGAGUCCUUCAUUCAGGCAUUAUCAGAUUCUCAGGAUUGAACUGCCUUCUUGGCCAAUUUUACUGUCCAGCUCUCCACUCUGACUUCCGAUUUGCUGGCCAUGCUCACAUGCACGUGCUUCACUUACCAGGAAGGACUAUGCCACCAGCCACCACCCAUAUGCUUCAAAAUUCAAGAUCAUCAGAAAUGACUGACCCUCUUCCAACACCUCUCGCGCAAGUCCUCUGAUUCACUGUGGUUGAGACAAUUAAGUCAUGCGCUCACUCCGUGAGCUACCCCAGGUGAUCCUCGCCCCAGACACAUGAACUAAACCUAAGCGUGGCCGACCUGCACAUGAAAAUCUGAGGCUUUGAUGUGUUCCGGUGAGUGGGAUGGAAAGGACCUGCACUGUUUUCCCCAGAUAUCCAUAAUCCUCCUUCCCAUCCACCCCCCUUCAAAACACACAGGUCCACAAAAGCUGCCUCUCCCUCUCCAAGUCCGAGGUGGCCUUCAUCAGUGAGAUCUCUUUUAUUUGCUGCAAGU
RNAcentral lists this long non-coding RNA (5426 nucleotides) under Sus scrofa (pig). RNAcentral describes it as "lncRNA (ENSSSCG00040064566.1)". Lineage: Eukaryota; Metazoa; Chordata; Mammalia; Artiodactyla; Suidae. The record is from RNAcentral.